Molecule: ribosomal RNA, 501 nt
Filed under: uncultured bacterium
Lineage: Bacteria
Description: partial 16S ribosomal RNA
Rfam family: Bacterial small subunit ribosomal RNA
Source: RNAcentral
AUUGAACGCUGGCGGCAGGCUUAACACAUGCAAGUCGAGCGGGGGAAGGUAGCUUGCUACUGGACCUAGCGGCGGACGGGUGAGUAAUGCUUAGGAAUCUGCCUAUUAGUGGGGGACAACAUCUCGAAAGGGAUGCUAAUACCGCAUACGUCCUACGGGAGAAAGCAGGGGAUCUUCGGACCUUGCGCUAAUAGAUGAGCCUAAGGCGGAUUAGCUAGUUGGUGGGGUAAAGGCCUACCAAGGCGACGAUCUGUAGCGGGUCUGAGAGGAUGAUCCGCCACACUGGGACUGAGACACGGCCCAGACUCCUACGGGAGGCAGCAGUGGGGAAUAUUGGACAAUGGGGGGGACCCUGAUCCAGCCAUGCCGCGUGUGUGAAGAAGGCCUUAUGGUUGUAAAGCACUUUAAGCGAGGAGGAGGCUACUCUAGUUAAUACCUAGGGAUAGUGGACGUUACUCGCAGAAUAAGCACCGGCUAACUCUGUGCCAGCCGCCGCGGUAA